Molecule: long non-coding RNA, 409 nt
Filed under: Salvia miltiorrhiza (redroot sage)
Lineage: Eukaryota; Viridiplantae; Streptophyta; Magnoliopsida; Lamiales; Lamiaceae
Description: long non-coding RNA (SMIL_LNC008117)
Source: RNAcentral
CCCAAGACCGUACUUUUUUGUUGUCAAUGCCGCCGGAUGGUUUUUGCUCUUAUCAUAUGGAGCUGCAAGCUCUUCCCCGAGCCUUCUACCAACAACAGUUGAUUGAAAUGCCUCUGCGAAUUCUCUACCUGAAACGAACCGGUAUGGCUUUUCCCUCUGUGCCCAAUAUUGUUGCUGAUCCUUUAGUGAUGUUACCUGCAUGUAAUUACAUUUAUCAUCAGAUCAAGGAAAGAUAUAUAUAUACACUGUGUCAAGUAACAUUUUGCAUUGCUUACUUCUUGCAAGAAAUCAGCCACUCCUUUUCUCUCCGGGCAUUUGAACCCCAUGGAUUCAAAGAAUUCAACCACAUAUUCUCGAGGACCAUGAUAAACAACAUUCCCCUCAGACAAAAGCACAAUGUCAUCGAAGA